CUACGGGGGGCUGCAGUGGGGAAUAUUGCACAAUGGAGGAAACUCUGAUGCAGCAACGCCGCGUGGAGGAUGACACUUUUCGGAGCGUAAACUCCUUUUAUAUAGGAAGAAGAUGACGGUACUAUAUGAAUAAGCGCCGGCUAACUCCGUGCCAGCAGCCGCGGUAAUACGGAGGGCGCAAGCGUUACUCGGAAUCACUGGGCGUAAAGAGCAUGUAGGCGGAUUUAAAAGUCAGAAGUGAAAUCCUAUAGCUUAACUAUAGAACUGCUUCUGAAACUCUUAAUCUAGAAUAUGGGAGAGGUAAAUGGAAUUUCUGGUGUAGGGGUAAAAUCCGUAGAGAUCAGAAGGAAUACCGAUUGCGAAGGCGAUCUACUAGAACAUUAUUGACGCUGAGACGCGAAAGCGUGGGGAGCAAACAGGAUUAGAUACCCUAGUAGUC
This 439-nucleotide ribosomal RNA is filed under the name uncultured bacterium. Its description in RNAcentral is "partial 16S ribosomal RNA". It matches the Rfam family "Bacterial small subunit ribosomal RNA", at positions 339 to 795 of the family's 1533-position model. The record is from RNAcentral.